RNAcentral lists this ribosomal RNA (375 nucleotides) under Armadillo officinalis (oak-woodland pillbug). RNAcentral's name for it is "partial large subunit ribosomal RNA". It matches the Rfam family "Bacterial large subunit ribosomal RNA", at positions 1912 to 2560 of the family's 2925-position model. Lineage: Eukaryota; Metazoa; Arthropoda; Malacostraca; Isopoda; Armadillidae. The record is from RNAcentral.
CUGAAUCUUUUAAAAGCCGCAGUAUCCUGACUGUGCUAAGGUAGCAUAAUCAUUUGUUAUCUAAAUGAUAACUAGUAUGAAUGGUCUGACGAGAAAAUAACUUUCUAAAAAGAAAAGAUGAAAAUUUAUUUAAAAGUAAAAAAGCUUUAAAGCUUUAGAAAGACGAGAAGACCCUAGACACCUGUUCUAUUCAUAUAGUUUGUUGGGGGGCUUAUUCAAACAAAUAACUAUUAAAACUUAUUAAUUGCUCUAUCUAUCUUUAUUAAAAAAAAAAAAGGUACUCUAGGGAUAACAGCAUAAUCUUCUUCUAGAGCCCUAAUCGACAAGAAAGAUUUUGACCUCGAUGUUGAAUUGAUAUUUCUUUCUAAAGCAGAA